This 483-nucleotide ribosomal RNA is filed under the name uncultured bacterium. RNAcentral's name for it is "partial 16S ribosomal RNA". It matches the Rfam family "Bacterial small subunit ribosomal RNA", at positions 28 to 523 of the family's 1533-position model. The record is from RNAcentral.
GACGAACGCUGGCGGCGUGCUUAACACAUGCAAGUCGAACGAUGAAGCCGGAGCUUGCUCCGGUGGAUUAGUGGCGAACGGGUGAGUAACACGUGAGCAAUCUGCCCUUGACUCUGGGAUAACUGCGGGAAACUGUAGCUAAUACCGGAUACGACACCUUGGGGCAUCCCAGGGUGUGGAAAGAAUUUCGGUCAAGGAUGAGCUCGCGGCCUAUCAGCUAGUUGGUGAGGUAAUGGCUCACCAAGGCGACGACGGGUAGCCGGCCUGAGAGGGUGAGCGGCCACACUGGAACGGAGACACGGCCCAGACUCCUACGGGAGGCAGCAGUGGGGAAUAUUGAACAAUGGGCGCAAGCCUGAUGCAGCGACGCCGCGUGAGGGAUGAAGGUCUUCGGAUUGUAAACCUCUUUCAGUAGGGACGAAGCGAAAGUGACGGUACCUAAAGAAGAAGCACCGGCUAACUACGUGCCAGCCGCCGCCGUAA